GCGUGGAGCGCACACAGGAUUAGAUACCCUGGUAGUCCACGCCCUAAACGAUGCUGACUAGUUGUUUGAGAAUUUAUUCUUGAGUAACGUAGCUAACGCGUGAAGUCAGCCGCCUGGGGAGUACGGUCGCAAGAUUAAAACUCAAAGGAAUUGACGGGGACCCGCACAAGCGGUGGAUGAUGUGGAUUAAUUCGAUGCAACGCGAAAAACCUUACCUACCCUUGACAUGCCACUAACGAAGUAGAGAUACAUUAGGUGCCCGUAAGGGAAAGUGGACACAGGUGCUGCAUGGCUGUCGUCAGCUCGUGUCGUGAGAUGUUGGGUUAAGUCCCGCAACGAGCGCAACCCUUGUCUCUAGUUGCUACGCAAGAGCACUCUAGAGAGACUGCCGGUGACAAACCGGAGGAAGGUGGGGAUGACGUCAAGUCCUCAUGGCCCUUAUGGGUAGGGCUUCACACGUCAUACAAUGGUGCGUACAGAGGGUUGCCAACCCGCGAGGGGGAGCUAAUCUCAUAAAACGCAUCGUAGUCCGGAUCGUAGUCUGCAACUCGACUACGUGAAGCUGGAAUCGCUAGUAAUCGCGGAUCAGCAUGUCGCGGUGAAUACGUUCCCGGGUCUUGUACACACCGCCCGUCACACCAUGGGAGUGGGCUUUGCCAGAAGCCAUUAGCCUAACCGCAAGGAGGGCGAU
RNAcentral lists this ribosomal RNA (691 nucleotides) under uncultured beta proteobacterium. Its description in RNAcentral is "bacterial SSU rRNA". It matches the Rfam family "Bacterial small subunit ribosomal RNA", at positions 759 to 1454 of the family's 1533-position model. Lineage: Bacteria; Pseudomonadati; Pseudomonadota; Betaproteobacteria. The record is from RNAcentral.